This 433-nucleotide ribosomal RNA is filed under the name uncultured bacterium. RNAcentral's name for it is "partial 16S ribosomal RNA". It matches the Rfam family "Bacterial small subunit ribosomal RNA", at positions 29 to 507 of the family's 1533-position model. The record is from RNAcentral.
AACGAACGCUGGCGGCAUGCCUAACACAUGCAAGUCGAACGAGACCUUCGGGUCUAGUGGCGCACGGGUGCGUAACGCGUGGGAACCUGCCCUUAGGUUCGGAAUAACUCCCCGAAAGGGGUGCUAAUACCGGAUAAUGUCUUCGGACCAAAGAUUUAUCGCCUUUGGAUGGGCCCGCGUUGGAUUAGCUAGUUGGUAGGGUAAAAGCCUACCAAGGCGACGAUCCAUAGCUGGUCUGAGAGGAUGAUCAGCCACACUGGGACUGAGACACGGCCCAGACUCCUACGGGAGGAAGCAGUGGGGAAUAUUGGACAAUGGGCGAAAGCCUGAUCCAGCAAUGCCGCGUGAGUGAUGAAGGCCUUAGGGUUGUAAAGCUCUUUUACCCGGGAUGAUAAUGACAGUACCGGGAGAGUAAGCUCCGGCUAACUCCGUG